Molecule: ribosomal RNA, 938 nt
Filed under: uncultured archaeon
Lineage: Archaea
Description: bacterial SSU rRNA
Rfam family: Archaeal small subunit ribosomal RNA
Source: RNAcentral
UUCCGGUUGAUCCUGCCGGACCCUACUGCUAUCGGGGUGGGACUAAGACAUGCGAGUCGAGCGUCUCCAGCUAUGGUGAGACGCGGCAGACGGCUCAGUAACACGUGGCUAACCUACCCUCAGGACAGGGACAAACCCGGGAAACUGGGGCUAAUACCCGAUAGGCGAGGGCGCCUGGAAUGGUUCUUCACCCAAAGGGCUUUGGAAGCAUGCUUUUCAAAGUCGCCUGGGGAUGGGGCCGCGUCCGAUCAGGUUGUUGGUGAGGUAACGGCUCACCAAGCCUAUAACCGGUACGGGCCGUGAGAGCGGUAGCCCGGAGAUGGGCACUGAGACAAGGGCCCAGGCCCUACGGGGCGCAGCAGUCGCGAAAACUCCGCAAUGCACGAAAGUGUGACGGGGCUACCCCGAGUGCCGUCCGCUGAGGAUGGCUUUUCCUCGGUGUAACUAGCCGGGGGAAUAAGGAGAGGGCAAGACUGGUGUCAGCCGCCGCGGUAAUACCAGCUCUCCGAGUGGUAGGGAUGAUUAUUGGGCUUAAAGCGUCCGUAGCCGGCUUAGCAAGUCUCCUGUUAAAUUCAGCGAUCUAAUCGUUGAGCCGCGGGAGAUACUACUAGGCUAGGAGGCGGGAGAGGCCGACGGUACUUCCGGGGUAGGGGUGAAAUCCUAUAAUCCCGGGCGGACCACCAGUGGCGAAGGCUGUUGGCUAGAACGCGCUCGACGGUGAGGGACGAAAGCUGGGGGAGCGAACCGGAUUAGAUACCCGGGUAGUCCCAGCCGUAAACGAUGCGGGCUAGGUGUUGGGGUGGCUACGUGCCACUUCAGUGCCGCAGGAAGCCAUUAAGCCCGCCGCCUGGGGAGUACGGCCGCAAGGCUGAACUUAAGGAAUUGGCGGGGAGCACACAAGGCGUGAAGCUUGCGGUUCAAUUGGAUUCAACGCCGGG